UACGUAGGCAGCGAGCGUUGUUCGGAAUUACUGGGCGUAAAGAGUGUGUAGGCGGUGCUCUAAGUUCGGUGUGAAAUCUCCUGGCUCAACUGGGAGGGUGCGCCGGAAACUGGAGUGCUUGAGCGUGGGAGAGGAAAGCGGAAUUCCUGGUGUAGCGGUGAAAUGCGUAGAUAUCAGGAGGAACACCUGUGGUGUAGACGCUUUUCUGGACCAUAGCUGACGCUGAGACACGAAACGUGGGUAGCAAACAGG
This 252-nucleotide ribosomal RNA is filed under the name uncultured bacterium. RNAcentral describes it as "partial 16S ribosomal RNA". It matches the Rfam family "Bacterial small subunit ribosomal RNA", at positions 524 to 776 of the family's 1533-position model. The record is from RNAcentral.